This 433-nucleotide ribosomal RNA is filed under the name uncultured bacterium. Its description in RNAcentral is "partial 16S ribosomal RNA". It matches the Rfam family "Bacterial small subunit ribosomal RNA", at positions 29 to 507 of the family's 1533-position model. The record is from RNAcentral.
AACGAACGCUGGCGGCAUGCCUAACACAUGCAAGUCGAACGAGGCCUUCGGGUCUAGUGGCGCACGGGUGCGUAACGCGUGGGAACCUGCCCUUAGGUUCGGAAUAACUCCCCGAAAGGGGUGCUAAUACCGGAUAAUGUCUUCGGACCAAAGAUUUAUCGCCUUUGGAUGGGCCCGCGUCGGAUUAGCUAGUUGGUAGGGUAAAAGCCUACCAAGGCGACGAUCCAUAGCUGGUCUGAGAGGAUGAUCAGCCACACUGGGACUGAGACACGGCCCAGACUCCUACGGGAGGCAGCAGUGGGGAAUAUUGGACAAUGGGCGAAAGCCUGAUCCAGCAAUGCCGCGUGAGUGAUGAAGGCCUUAGGGUUGUAAAGCUCUUUUACCCGGGAUGAUAAUGACAGUACCGGGAGAAUAAGCUCCGGCUAACUCCGUG